GAAACAUGCUCAUAAAACUCCCUUGCAUAGGCGGCAAAAAUCUAUCGAAAGACUCGAACAUAGAAUCGGAACCAGGAGACGAUGACUCGUUGUAAGAGUCCAUCAAAGGGACUAAAGAUCUUGGCUCAUCUACAGUUCUUUGGUCGAGAAUUUCAGGAGAGUUUUCAACACCAUUAAAGUCCAUAAAUCGAGCAGCGUCGGAGUCUUUUCCGGUGAGUUCUUGCACAAGAGCCCUAAAUUUUGAGGCACUAGUCUCAACU
Molecule: unclassified non-coding RNA, 260 nt
Filed under: Hevea brasiliensis (rubber tree)
Lineage: Eukaryota; Viridiplantae; Streptophyta; Magnoliopsida; Malpighiales; Euphorbiaceae
Source: RNAcentral